RNAcentral lists this ribosomal RNA (662 nucleotides) under uncultured fungus. RNAcentral's name for it is "eukaryotic LSU rRNA". It matches the Rfam family "Eukaryotic large subunit ribosomal RNA", at positions 24 to 664 of the family's 3401-position model. The record is from RNAcentral. Lineage: Eukaryota; Fungi.
CCCGCUGAACUUAAGCAUAUCAAUAAGCGGAGGAAAAGAAACCAACAGGGAUUGCCUCAGUAACGGCGAGUGAAGCGGCAACAGCUCAAAUUUGAAAUCUGGCCCCUUCGGGGUCCGAGUUGUAAUUUGGAGAGGAUGCUUCGGGUGUGGCCCCGGUCUAAGUUCCUUGGAACAGGACGUCACAGAGGGUGAGAAUCCCGUACGUGCCCGGUGGCCGCCCCCGUGUGAAGCUCCUUCGACGAGUCGAGUUGUUUGGGAAUGCAGCUCAAAAUGGGUGGUGAACUCCAUCUAAAGCUAAAUAUUGGCGAGAGACCGAUAGCGAACAAGUACCGUGAGGGAAAGAUGAAAAGCACUUUGGAAAGAGAGUGAAACAGUACGUGAAAUUGUUGAAAGGGAAACGCUUGAAGUCAGUCGCGUCGACCGGGGAUCAGUCUCGCUUAAUCGCUGGACGUACUUCCUGGCCGACGGGUCAGCAUCGGUUUCGACCGUCGGAAAAUGGUUCGAGGAAAGUGGCACCCCUCGGGGUGUGUUAUAGACUCGGGUCGAAUACGACGUUUGGGACCGAGGGACUCAGCACGACCUUCGGGUUCGGGGCUUAGGCUCACGUUAACGUGCUUAGGAUGCUGGCAUAAUGGCCUUAAGCGACCCGUCUUGAAACACGG